ACCGUGACUCGUUAAAAAAGGGGAACUAUGUACAAUGUGGAUUUCCAUACUUGAACACGCAAUUAAUAUGUAGACGUUGCUCAUUACAAACAUUAAUCUCAAGGCGUUAUAUUUCAUUCUCAGCCUGGGAAAGUGGUGACAACGCAGAUCGAGCAUGAAAGUUCAGCAGAAUUUUGAGACAAGGGUGGUUUAGAACCAAUUUACAGACCUGAUAGCAUCCGGGAGGAUAAUCCAAUUUACAGACCAGAUGACGAAAAUUCAC
This is a long non-coding RNA of Folsomia candida, 262 nucleotides long. RefSeq lists it as uncharacterized. Lineage: Eukaryota; Metazoa; Arthropoda; Collembola; Entomobryomorpha; Isotomidae. The record is from RefSeq and is a predicted model, not a curated record. The transcript has 2 exons.